This is a long non-coding RNA of Lontra canadensis (Northern American river otter), 321 nucleotides long. RefSeq lists it as uncharacterized. The record is from RefSeq and is a predicted model, not a curated record. The transcript has 3 exons. NCBI's taxonomy places the organism in Eukaryota, Metazoa, Chordata, Mammalia, Carnivora, Mustelidae.
CAGGAGGAACUCCCCGGCCCAUGGGAUCUCAGCAUUCAAAGCGACACAGGAAGGCUGGGCCCCUGAAACGGGGCCACCGAGGAGAUCGGAGAACAACCAGGAGGAAGUACUGGAAGGAAGGAAGGGAGAUCGCUCGGUUCUACCAUCAUACCAGGGGCUUCCAUGCCUAUGAAGACAGUCCUCCAAACCCUGGCUUCUGAGCUACUUGUUGCUUCAACUCACCGACUGUCAACGUCUAUUUCAGCAACCCAUGACCAUGAUCUGGUCAUCAUUUGAAACCAUUCCACCUCUGAAGUUUUAAUCUCUGUGUACCUCCUAUGU